AUUGAACGCUGGCGGCAGGCUUAACACAUGCAAGUCGAGCGGGGUGAUGGUGCUUGCACUAUCACUUAGCGGCGGACGGGUGAGUAAUGCUUAGGAAUCUGCCUAUUAGUGGGGGACAACAUCUCGAAGGGGAUGCUAAUACCGCGUACGUCCUACGGGAGAAAGCAGGGGAUCACUUGUGACCUUGCGCUAAUAGAUGAGCCUAAGUCGGAUUAGCUAGUUGGUGGGGUAAAAGCCUACCAAGGCGACGAUCUGUAGCGGGUCUGAGAGGAUGAUCCGCCACACUGGGACUGAGACACGGCCCAGACUCCUACGGGAGGCAGCAGUGGGGAAUAUUGGACAAUGGGGGGAACCCUGAUCCAGCCAUGCCGCGUGUGUGAAGAAGGCCUUAUGGUUGUAAAGCACUUUAAGCGAGGAGGAGGCUCUUUCGGUUAAUACCCAGAAUGAGUGGACGUUACUCGCAGAAUAAGCACCGGCUAACUCUGUGCCAGCCGCCGCGGUAA
RNAcentral lists this ribosomal RNA (503 nucleotides) under uncultured bacterium. Its description in RNAcentral is "partial 16S ribosomal RNA". It matches the Rfam family "Bacterial small subunit ribosomal RNA", at positions 30 to 523 of the family's 1533-position model. The record is from RNAcentral.